RNAcentral lists this ribosomal RNA (431 nucleotides) under Cryptobacterium curtum. RNAcentral describes it as "bacterial SSU rRNA". It matches the Rfam family "Bacterial small subunit ribosomal RNA", at positions 28 to 458 of the family's 1533-position model. Lineage: Bacteria; Bacillati; Actinomycetota; Coriobacteriia; Eggerthellales; Eggerthellaceae. The record is from RNAcentral.
GAUGAACGCUGGCGGCGCGCCUAACACAUGCAAGUCGAACGAUUAAACCGCCCUUGGGCGGAUAUACAGUGGCGAACGGGUGAGUAACGCGUGACCAACCCUCCCCCCGCAUCGGGACAACCCGGGGAAACCCGGGCUAAUACCGGAUAUGCCGGGUAUGGCGCAUGUCAUACCCAGGAAAGCUUUUGCGGCGGGGGAUGGGGUCGCGUCCCAUCAGGUAGACGGCGGGGUAGUAGCCCACCGUGCCAACGACGGGUAGCCGGGUUGAGAGACCGACCGGCCACAUUGGGACUGAGAUACGGCCCAGACUCCUACGGGAGGCAGCAGUGGGGAAUCUUGCGCAAUGGGGGAAACCCUGACGCAGCGACGCCGCGUGCGGGAUGGAGGCCUUCGGGCCGUGAACCGCUUUCAGCAGGGAAGACAUUAAGGAC